Molecule: ribosomal RNA, 485 nt
Filed under: uncultured bacterium
Lineage: Bacteria
Description: bacterial SSU rRNA
Rfam family: Bacterial small subunit ribosomal RNA
Source: RNAcentral
AUUGAACGCUGGCGGCAUGCCUUACACAUGCAAGUCGAACGGCAGCGCGUCCUUCGGGAUGGCGGCGAGUGGCGAACGGGUGAGUAAUACAUCGGAACGUGCCCGAGAGUGGGGGAUAACGCAGCGAAAGCUGUGCUAAUACCGCAUACGAUCUCAGGAUGAAAGCAGGGGACCGCAAGGCCUUGCGCUCACGGAGCGGCCGAUGGCAGAUUAGGUAGUUGGUGGGAUAAAAGCUUACCAAGCCGACGAUCUGUAGCUGGUCUGAGAGGACGACCCAGCCACACUGGGACUGAGACACGGCCCAGACUCCUACGGGAGGCAGCAGUGGGGAAUUUUGGACAAUGGGGGGAACCCUGAUCCAGCCAUGCCGCGUGCAGGAUGAAGGCCUUCGGGUUGUAAACUGCUUUUGUACGGAACGAAAAGGUCUUUUCUAAUAAAGAAGGCUGAUGACGGUACCGUAAGAAUAAGCACCGGCUAACUACGUG